CCUAAGGACUUUUAAACCUCAAAGAUGAGGGUGGGAACAACAGAGAAGAACCUAUUAUUGGGCCACCUAUCAAGCAAAAAGAAAAUACAGCAAUAGAGAUCACACUGGAUGCAUGGUGAACUGUGGCAGAUGGAGAAAUGGUUGGAAGCCAUGGGACGAAUGCCUAGAGUUUUGAAGGAAUGUAGACAAGGUCUCCAGAUUUGCCACCCAUGCUGAGUGCCGUGGUGUGAUCAUGGCUUAUUUCAACCUCAACCUCCCCCACUCAAGCGAUCCUCCUGCCUCAGCCUCUGGAGUAGCUGGGACUACAGGCACGCACCACCACACCCAGCCAUAAUUUGCCUCUUGCUGUAACUAAAAGGUCACAAAAACAAAGAAUUCUAAAAAAUCUUCUUCUUAAGUGGUAUGUUUAGUAUUUAUCAUGAUGACAAUGUUCUAAAUUGCACCUGCCUCCACUAGCAGAAUGCCAGGAUUACUGCCAGACAGAGAAUUCGGACUGCUGGUCCAGGGACAUAGCUAUGAAAUGCACCAAGGACAGCAGAGUGUGUUUUGGAGAAAGCCAGGUAGCUCUUGAUAGGGCCUAUAUGAGUACUUAUUCCUGCUGAUAGGAAAAAAAUGAUUAGAAAAAUCUCAUUUCUUUAUUCAUUUCUACUCUGAGAGCUUUUUACUUCUAGAAACACGGUCUUAGUUUUCUGUGUUAUUAUGUUUUUUUUUUGAAACUGACAAAAUUUCACAAUUAAUUUAUGUUCAUUCAAAUGUUUAAUAAUUAUACCUUGAAUUUGUCUUAUAAUUAGUAUUUUCUUGUUAUUUCCAACAAGAGAAAGUGUGCAGGAAAAGGGACUAGAUCAGGUUGAGAGAGCCAGGGGUGUUCAGUCAAGCAGGCAGAACUCAGGACACUGAACGGGGUGAGUAUGAGGCAGCCAGAGUCCCCAGACCCGCAGAGGAGGGUCCAAAGGACAGCUUUUCAUGAUCCAGGAAGGAAAUCUCCUUCAAUAACGUCUCUCCUUCAAGAAGCUGGGGGUGUCGCUGGGAUUUAACGUAGAGAUUCCAGUCUUAGAUUGAGGGAAGGAAGGGAGGCAAAAGGAAGGAAGCCUCGCAUCCUCAUGCGAAGAAGCCAGCUUGUAGAAAUGAAGCUCAAAAUGAUCCCUACAGCACAAGCAGUCCAGGGCAUGUGGACUCCUGCUGGGUUGGGGCCAGGACAGGAGAAGAAAGUUUGAUACAGGCCUGAGGCUCGGGAGCCCUGCACUGGCUGUGCGUCUCUACAACCAUCCCAGAGUCGGCCCAGGUACCAGGUCUUCUGGCUCAGAUAAAGAUCACACAUGACUCGCCUGAAAACUUGAGGCAGAGGUGUGCCAUUGUCACAAAAGGCGCUGUCAGGGUGGAGGCUCAGGGAAUGAUAGAGGAGCUCUUGAAUCACCCUGGAGAAAUUUUACCUCGGUCAGACAGCUACAGAGCCGACUUAAUAUUUUUAUUUAAAAUCUAGAUUAUUUGGGGGCUGGUUUGGAAAUGGGGGAGAUCUGUGAGUCCAGGCAUGGUAGCAGGAAGAGAAGAGGCUUCCUUGUAACCCUACUGACUCUUCCUCUCACUUGUCCCAAAAGCACAGGGUGAGAGACAAGAACAUUGGUACAGUGCGUUCAGGAAACUUUUCAACUUUUUAUGUGUAGUGUACCAAAAUAUUUUUUCACACAUGCAAAGACAGUGGUCAGGGGCUAUUCUGGCUUGUUAGAAAAAAGGAUGUGACGUUUUCCAGUCCCUGGGUGGGUCUCAGUUCUCUUAGAGGCUCUGCCUCUCACUCACACCUCUGCUAGAGGAAUGCGAGGAAGCUCUGACAAGAUUGUGAUCUGGGGACACGUUUGCCACCUCAGCGCCAAGGCUGACGUGGGGACAUGGGCUACUCAGUGAACGCACUUUACCCAGGAUACCAAGGGCACUUAAUGAUACCGACAGUUCUGUUUACAUCCUUCUCCACUGCCUCCAGCAUCAUUCAAGGCGUAAUCUCUUGGAAAAGUUUGAUUAGAAUGAAUUCUAGUUUGGCGUAGGUUAUUAUGCACCUAAAUUGGCUAAACUUAGCUUCAUAUAUCAAACAUAAGAUAUACAUCUCUAGAGAUGCGUCUGUGGAGACCUCCAUAGGCACCAGUAUAUAUUAUUCUAAGUUUUACCUCUUUUCUUGUGGAUUACUAACUUUGUGGUUCUCCCUUGAUUAGGUUUAUAUGCAAUUUUCUUAGAAAAUGUCAACUCCAAUUCUGCAACAUACUGAGCCCCUUUAUUGGAAACUUCAAAGUUCCUAGUCCAAUCCUAAUUCUAGAUCUUACUUCAUAUGUUGCUUUUAUCUUCUCUUGGGUAAUGGGUCAUUUCAAGGGUGAUUUUUUUGACUUUAUCUUAUUGGGGAUAUAAGUGCAGAUAAAGGAGAUACAGACGAGCAUUUAAUUUUUUUUUUCAGUGCAGUGAUUAUGGAGUCAGGGUAGUAUUUCUGCUGUGUAUGGUAAACUCCAUAGGAUCUCAUUUAUUCAUGGUUAAAGGCUUUCCUGGGGAAACCAGUAUGCUAACUUCAGGCAGAUAAUAAAACCUGAGGUAUAUGGAGAGUGUCUACUUUGACACAUUCAGGGCUAGCCCUCUCCUGCUGGUGCAGUUCAAUGUGAAUUUAGUCAUUUGUGGUCACUUAACAGCAAAGAGAUCUUUCUACAGAGUCUAGCUGUGCUGAUUAUCAAACUGGGGAAAAUUGAUGGCCAUUUGUUAUGGCUAAUAACACAGGUGCCGGUCAACUUUAUAAAAAUGUAGAAAAGUAUUUGCGGUGAAAAUUAUCCUAACCAUUGUGGAAAAAUGCCCAUCCCACUUCAAUUCAUAGCUGAAUACAUAUAGGAACUACAGUUCUCAGACCUGCAGUGAGUUCUGACCAAUGGAAUUCAGUGGGAUGAUAGAUGCUGCCUUUGAAGCCACCCCAUCAACUGGCUCAUCUCCUCCUGUCUCAGCUCUUUCUCCUGCUGCAUCCUGAUGCAGGACCACUGCACAACCUCACAAACCUUAUGUGGAAAGUAGUGGAGCCACCAGAUGUUAUGGGUAUCCUUUAAUGGAGAACUUUACACUACUUUGAAAUGACAGUUUUAUACUUUUCAUAAGAAAGAAAUAAACUUCCAUUGUACUAA
Molecule: long non-coding RNA, 3140 nt
Filed under: Homo sapiens (human)
Lineage: Eukaryota; Metazoa; Chordata; Mammalia; Primates; Hominidae
Description: HSALNT0340803
Source: RNAcentral